RNAcentral lists this non-coding RNA (22 nucleotides) under Arabidopsis thaliana (thale cress). The record is from RNAcentral. Lineage: Eukaryota; Viridiplantae; Streptophyta; Magnoliopsida; Brassicales; Brassicaceae.
UCAGUGGCUGCCAUAAAUUCAG